GUUGGACACUCAACCAACUGAGCUACACAGGUGCUCCUCUUUUUUAUUUCAUUCAUUUCUGCUUUUAUAUUUUAUUUCCACCUUCCUGCUUGCUUUGAAUUUAAUGUUCUCUCUUAUAUUUUAUUAAAGUGGGAGAUGAUAUCAUUGACUUGGGACUUUUCUUCUUUUUCUAUUUUAGGUAUUCUAAGGCUUUAAGUUUUCCUCUAAGUGUCCUGUGUUGGAUGUAUCCCCAUAAAUUCUGUCUAGCUGGGAAGGACCUUGAAAGGCAGAGGAAAAUUUUUCAUCCCGGACACCUGGCCUAGUUGGUAGUACACUUUAACACACUGGAUGCUGCUUGUCACAAACAUAGCUGUGGCUGGGAGAUCCUUGGGACAUCUGACCUAGAGCCGACAGAAGCCUCCAGAACCACCCAUUCCCCGACAAUGCAGCUAUAUUCCCAACCUCAUCAGUCAUCACAUCCAUGACAGUUGCUCAGUUACAAUCAAGAUCACCUCUCUGAAAGUUCCAUACACUUGAUCACUGCACUUACCGUUCCCUGGACCUACUUUAUGUCUGUUCAUCUAAGCUAUAGUUUCUUCAAAACCUACCUCAUCUGUGAAGAUUUCCUAGUGCCACUCCAAAGAGAGAUGAAUCCUGGGUGAUACUAGAUGCCAUGUGUUGAAGAUAUCAAGGCUCCUGUCAACCUGAAAAGGCUAUUGUGCCAACCCCUUCACUUCACUACUGUCAUGAACCCAGUGACCCACCAGAGGACUGGACAGUUUAAGGCCAGCUCCAGAAACAAAUGGAAGACAGUUCAAGUACUUAAUAUAAAAACCUUUUUAAAUUUCUCUUCCUCCCUCCCUCCCUCCCUCCCUCUUUCUUUUCUUUCUUUCUUUCUUUCUCUUCCUUCCUUCCUUUCUUUCUUUCUUUCUUUCUUUCUUUCUUUCUUUCUUUUUCUUUCUUUCUUUCUUUCUUUCUUUCUUUCUUAUUGUUGGCCCCUAGCAACAACUCAGUUCCAUUUGGUUCAGCCACCUGAGAACCAAGUGAACUAUGUGCCAGGUACUGUUCUAGGGCCUCUUCAUAUAGAGAUAACAUAUGAGGAGGAUCCUAUGACCAAUUUGGAUUUAAAAAGCUUUUUCUAAUAUCACUCUCAAUCCAUGUGUACUCACUAUGUGUUUUUCUAUAAUCCUCUUUCCAGAGCUUAUCUGUGUAUAUAUAAGGAUUGUAUUCUAUUGGAUUCAAAUAUUUCUUACGCCUUUUUUUUUGAAGAAUAAAAGAUUGAAGUCAAGA
Long non-coding RNA from Leopardus geoffroyi (Geoffroy's cat), 1269 nucleotides. RefSeq lists it as uncharacterized. The record is from RefSeq and is a predicted model, not a curated record. NCBI's taxonomy places the organism in Eukaryota, Metazoa, Chordata, Mammalia, Carnivora, Felidae. The transcript is spliced from 5 exons.